GACGUAGGGGGCCAGCGUUGCUCGGAAUUACUGGGUGUAAAGGGUUCGUAGGCGGUGUGGCAAGUCGGGAGUGAAAUCUUUGGGCUCAACCCAAAGGCUGCUUCCGAAACUGCCGUGCUUGAGUGUGGGAGAGGCGCGUGGAAUUGCAGGUGUAGCGGUGAAAUGCGUAGAUAUCUGCAGGAACACCCGUGGCGAAAGCGGCGCGCUGGACCACUACUGACGCUGAGGAACGAAAGCUAGGGGAGCAAACAGG
This 253-nucleotide ribosomal RNA is filed under the name uncultured bacterium. Its description in RNAcentral is "partial 16S ribosomal RNA". It matches the Rfam family "Bacterial small subunit ribosomal RNA", at positions 524 to 776 of the family's 1533-position model. The record is from RNAcentral.